AGAUGCCCGUCUUUGGAAGAGGCAACAGAGUGUGAAGGUCAAGAUGUUACUCUGGAGCCCAACAGCCCAGAAUUAAUAUUAGGUCCAGAUCCAGUUGAUGAAGCUGGCUUGGGAAAGUUACUUCAACUUUCAACUCCUUCAUCUCUGCUGCCAUUCUCAUCAGGUCACAGAGAGGAUGAAAUAAAUAAAUGUAAUGUUCAACACAUAGUAAGUAAUCUAGAAUAUUAACUAUAUUUACAUUACAUUUCAAAAUUCAUUAGCUUCC
This 265-nucleotide long non-coding RNA is filed under the name Oryctolagus cuniculus (rabbit). RNAcentral describes it as "lncRNA (ENSOCUG00000035182.1)". The record is from RNAcentral. Lineage: Eukaryota; Metazoa; Chordata; Mammalia; Lagomorpha; Leporidae.